UGUGGAAUAUUGCACAAUGGGCGAAAGCCUGAUGCAGCGACGCCGCGUGAGGGAUGACGGCCUUCGGGUUGUAAACCUCUUUCAGCAGGGACGAAGCGCAAGUGACGGUACCUGCAGAAGAAGCACCGGCUAACUACGUGCCAGCAGCCGCGGUAAUACGUAGGGUGCAAGCGUUGUCCGGAAUUACUGGGCGUAAAGAGUUCGUAGGCGGUUUGUCGCGUCGUUUGUGAAAACCAGCAGCUCAACUGCUGGCUUGCAGGCGAUACGGGCAGACUUGAGUACUGCAGGGGAGACUGGAAUUCCUGGUGUAGCGGUGAAAUGCGCAGAUAUCAGGAGGAACACCGGUGGCGAAGGCGGGUCUCUGGGCAGUAACUGACGCUGAGGAACGAAAGCGUGGGUAGCGAACAGG
This 409-nucleotide ribosomal RNA is filed under the name Bacillota bacterium. RNAcentral describes it as "Firmicutes bacterium partial 16S ribosomal RNA". It matches the Rfam family "Bacterial small subunit ribosomal RNA", at positions 355 to 776 of the family's 1533-position model. The record is from RNAcentral. Lineage: Bacteria; Bacillati; Bacillota.